Molecule: unclassified non-coding RNA, 294 nt
Filed under: Rhizobium sp. RU36D
Lineage: Bacteria; Pseudomonadati; Pseudomonadota; Alphaproteobacteria; Hyphomicrobiales; Rhizobiaceae
Description: Long range pseudoknot
Source: RNAcentral
ACGUGAAGAUGAAGGCCAUGAACCGGUUCUUCGAAGAAGGCGACAAGGUGAAGGUGACGCUCAAGUUCCGUGGCCGUGAAAUGGCCCACCAGGAGCUGGGCAUGAAGCUGCUCAUGCAGGUCAAGGAAGACACCGUCGAAGUUGCCAAGGUGGAAGCCGAGCCGAAGCUCGAAGGCCGCCAGAUGAUGAUGGUUCUGGCGCCGAAGUGAUCGGCGCCUCUCGGGUGGCUUGAUGGGUCCGGUGCUGAUGCGUCGGCCUUUGGUGCCCGCCUGAAGGCCUGCGGUUUCCGCCGCA